UACGUAGGGGGCGAGCGUUGUCCGGAUUUAUUGGGCGUAAAGGGCGCGUAGGCGGUCUUUCAAGUCCCGUGUGAAAUCCCUCGGCUCAACUGAGGAACUGCACGGGAAACUGUCUGGCUUGAAUUCGGGAGAGGGAUGCAGAAUUCCAGGUGUAGCGGUGAAAUGCGCAGAUAUCGGGAGGAACACCUAUGGCGAAGGCAGCUCGCUGGGACGUUACUGACGCUGAGACGCGAAAGCGUGGGGAGCAAACAGG
RNAcentral lists this ribosomal RNA (253 nucleotides) under uncultured bacterium. Its description in RNAcentral is "partial 16S ribosomal RNA". It matches the Rfam family "Bacterial small subunit ribosomal RNA", at positions 524 to 776 of the family's 1533-position model. The record is from RNAcentral.